This 484-nucleotide ribosomal RNA is filed under the name uncultured bacterium. RNAcentral describes it as "partial 16S ribosomal RNA". It matches the Rfam family "Bacterial small subunit ribosomal RNA", at positions 30 to 507 of the family's 1533-position model. The record is from RNAcentral.
AUUGAACGCUGGCGGCAGGCCUAACACAUGCAAGUCGAGCGGAUGAAGGGAGCUUGCUCCUGGAUUCAGCGGCGGACGGGUGAGUAAUGCCUAGGAAUCUGCCUGGUAGUGGGGGAUAACGUCCGGAAACGGGCGCUAAUACCGCAUACGUCCUGAGGGAGAAAGUGGGGGAUCUUCGGACCUCACGCUAUCAGAUGAGCCUAGGUCGGAUUAGCUAGUUGGUGGGGUAAAGGCCUACCAAGGCGACGAUCCGUAACUGGUCUGAGAGGAUGAUCAGUCACACUUGAACUGAGACACGGUCCGGACGCCUACGGGAGGCACCAGUUGGGAAUAUUGGACAAUGGGCGAAAGCCUGAUCCAGCCAUGCGGCGUGUGUGAAGAAGGUCUUCGGAUUGUAAAGCACGUUAAGUUGGGAGGAAGGGCAGUAAGUUAAUACCUUGCUGUUUUGACGUUACCAACAGAAUAAGCACCGGCUAACUUCGUG